CCAAAUAUUCAUGGGGCGCUUAUUAUGUGCCAGGCACUGUUUGCUGUAAGCUCUUUGCUUGUCCUCAGUCAUCCAUCUCUCCCAUCAACUCCGAGAAAAGGGGUGCUCUUUUCAAUGCUGCUUUAAGACCUGGGGGGAAAUGGAUUUUCACUGGAUGCAAAGCAAAGGCAGCCACCUGUCCCCAUGAGUGAGCACGAGAGGGCUGUGCCUCCCCAGCACACGCGGCACAGAAGUCCACAGAGCACGCGGCAAAGCCACGAGAACAUUUCUAGGCUAACUUGCUGGAGGAAGAGAGGCGAUGGAACUGGGCGUUUCAGCUCAGAAGCUAGAACCAAGGCUCAGAGAACCUGAACUGCCCCCGGGGCACCUCUAGUAUAAAACGGAGGAAGGAAAGAAAUGCCAGCAUCCUCAACACCUGCUAUGAGCCUGGACUCAUCAAUUCAUUUCAGCGAAGUGGUCUGGAGGCUGGGAAGUCUGACAUCAGGUUGCCAGUGCAUGGCCAUCAAGUGCCUGCCAAGAUUUCAACAACCAACCACAGCUUGACCUUUCUCAAAUUUUCAUCUCUAAACCAGUUUUCUCCUUUGAGCUCCUGAAGCUAAGCAGUUGAGAUCAUCACCUUCCAAUCAUCUCUUGGUUCAAGAUGGCCACUUGACCUCCAACCACGUUGUCCAUAUUCACUAAGGAAGGAAGAAAGAGAGGAGAGAUGCUCCACACUCCCCACCACUUUCAAGGAGAUUUCUUAAAGAUCCAGGAAUACAUUUGCUUAUAUUUCAUAGGCUAGAAGUUAGUGACAAAAUCAUAUCUCACUACAAGGCAUGGUUCUGGAGCUGAGGAGUCACAAGGGACCCAGACAACAACAAAAAUGGGGUCAAGGGUGCGAGCAUGUCAACUGGCAAUCCCAGUUCUGUGUAGAAAGGAGAUUUCCACCUACAAUCUUAUGUUGGCAAGAACUGCAAUGAUCUGUAUUUCAUUAUAACUCAAUCUCUAUUUAGUGCCUCCUCAAAUGGGGUUAAAAGAGAGUAUAUUGGGCAGCCCUGGUGGCCCAGUGGUUUAGUGCCACCUUCAGCCCAGGGCAUGAUC
Molecule: long non-coding RNA, 1080 nt
Organism: Canis lupus familiaris (dog)
Lineage: Eukaryota; Metazoa; Chordata; Mammalia; Carnivora; Canidae
Exons: 6
Source: RefSeq, a predicted model, not a curated record